CGAGCGAACAGACGAGGAGCUUGCUCCUCUGACGUUAGCGGCGGACGGGUGAGUAACACGUGGAUAACCUACCUAUAAGACUGGGAUAACUUCGGGAAACCGGAGCUAAUACCGGAUAAUAUAUUGAACCGCAUGGUUCAAUAGUGAAAGACGGUUUUGCUGUCACUUAUAGAUGGAUCCGCGCCGCAUUAGCUAGUUGGUAAGGUAACGGCUUACCAAGGCAACGAUGCGUAGCCGACCUGAGAGGGUGAUCGGCCACACUGGAACUGAGACACGGUCCAGACUCCUACGGGAGGCAGCAGUAGGGAAUCUUCCGCAAUGGGCGAAAGCCUGACGGAGCAACGCCGCGUGAGUGAUGAAGGUCUUCGGAUCGUAAAACUCUGUUAUUAGGGAAGAACAAAUGUGUAAGUAACUAUGCACGUCUUGACGGUACCUAAUCAGAAAGCCCCGGCUAACUACGUGCCAGCAGCCGCGGUAAUACGUAGGUGGCAAGCGUUAUCCGGAAUUAUUGGGCGUAAAGCGCGCGUAGGCGGUUUUUUAAGUCUGAUGUGAAAGCCCACGGCUCAACCGUGGAGGGUCAUUGGAAACUGGAAAACUUGAGUGCAGAAGAGGAAAGUGGAAUUCCAUGUGUAGCGGUGAAAUGCGCAGAGAUAUGGAGGAACACCAGUGGCGAAGGCGACUUUCUGGUCUGUAACUGACGCUGAUGUGCGAAAGCGUGGGGAUCAAACAGGAUUAGAUACCCUGGUAGUCCACGCCGUAAACGAUGAGUGCUAAGUGUUAGGGGGUUUCCGCCCCUUAGUGCUGCAGCUAACGCAUUAAGCACUCCGCCUGGGGAGUACGACCGCAAGGUUGAAACUCAAAGGAAUUGACGGGGACCCGCACAAGCGGUGGAGCAUGUGGUUUAAUUCGAAGCAACGCGAAGAACCUUACCAAAUCUUGACAUCCUCUGACCCCUCUAGAGAUAGAGUUUUCCCCUUCGGGGGACAGAGUGACAGGUGGUGCAUGGUUGUCGUCAGCUCGUGUCGUGAGAUGUUGGGUUAAGUCCCGCAACGAGCGCAACCCUUAAGCUUAGUUGCCAUCAUUAAGUUGGGCACUCUAAGUUGACUGCCGGUGACAAACCGGAGGAAGGUGGGGAUGACGUCAAAUCAUCAUGCCCCUUAUGAUUUGGGCUACACACGUGCUACAAUGGACAAUACAAAGGGUAGCGAAACCGCGAGGUCAAGCAAAUCCCAUAAAGUUGUUCUCAGUUCGGAUUGUAGUCUGCAACUCGACUAUAUGAAGCUGGAAUCGCUAGUAAUCGUAGAUCAGCAUGCUACGGUGAAUACGUUCCCGGGUCU
RNAcentral lists this ribosomal RNA (1337 nucleotides) under uncultured bacterium. Its description in RNAcentral is "bacterial SSU rRNA". It matches the Rfam family "Bacterial small subunit ribosomal RNA", at positions 63 to 1381 of the family's 1533-position model. The record is from RNAcentral.